Molecule: ribosomal RNA, 404 nt
Filed under: Actinomycetes bacterium
Lineage: Bacteria; Bacillati; Actinomycetota; Actinomycetes
Description: Actinobacteria bacterium partial 16S ribosomal RNA
Rfam family: Bacterial small subunit ribosomal RNA
Source: RNAcentral
UGGGGAAUAUUGGACAAUGGGCGCAAGCCUGAUCCAGCCAUGCCGCGUGAGUGAUGAAGGCCCUAGGGUUGUAAAGCCCUUUCACCGGUGAAGAUAAUGACGGUAACCGGAGAAGAAGCCCCGGCUAACUUCGUGCCAGCAGCCGCGGUAAUACGAAGGGGGCUAGCGUUGUUCGGAUUUACUGGGCGUAAAGCGCACGUAGGCGGACUUUUAAGUCAGGGGUGAAAUCCCGGGGGUCAACCCCGGAACUGCCUUUGAUACUGGAAGUCUUGGGUAUGGUAGCAGUGAGUGGAAUUCCGAGUAUAGAGGUGAAAUUCGUAGAUAUUCGGAGGAAAACCAGUGGCGAAGGCGGCUCACUGGACCAUUACUGACGCUGAGGUGCGAAAGCGUGGGGAGCAAACAGG